This 248-nucleotide unclassified non-coding RNA is filed under the name Hevea brasiliensis (rubber tree). Lineage: Eukaryota; Viridiplantae; Streptophyta; Magnoliopsida; Malpighiales; Euphorbiaceae. The record is from RNAcentral.
GCGAUUUCUUAAUGAAAUCAUAAAACGAGGACAUAUCCUUUGCAGGGUCGACUCCUUUCUUUUCCGUGAAAUCAAUGAUGCCCUUUAACACCGCGAUCUCAUCAUCCUCGCUCCAGAGACGUUGGAACAGCUGUUUCUUUGUAUCCUCNCUUUUCAACAACUCCAUCGGAUUCCGAAUCUUUAUUCUUGCCUCGCUUUGAGUCUUUCGGGUCGCGAUCUGUUUCACUGGCCCUCUUCACAGCUGCCGC